RNAcentral lists this ribosomal RNA (1555 nucleotides) under Enterococcus sp. ABRIINW-H61. Its description in RNAcentral is "16S ribosomal RNA". It matches the Rfam family "Bacterial small subunit ribosomal RNA". The record is from RNAcentral. Lineage: Bacteria; Bacillati; Bacillota; Bacilli; Lactobacillales; Enterococcaceae.
AGAGUUUGAUCCUGGCUCAGGACGAACGCUGGCGGCGUGCCUAAUACAUGCAAGUCGUACGCUUCUUUUUCCACCGGAGCUUGCUCCACCGGAAAAAGAAGAGUGGCGAACGGGUGAGUAACACGUGGGUAACCUGCCCAUCAGAAGGGGAUAACACUUGGAAACAGGUGCUAAUACCGUAUAACAAUCGAAACCGCAUGGUUUUGAUUUGAAAGGCGCUUUCGGGUGUCGCUGAUGGAUGGACCCGCGGUGCAUUAGCUAGUUGGUGAGGUAACGGCUCACCAAGGCCACGAUGCAUAGCCGACCUGAGAGGGUGAUCGGCCACAUUGGGACUGAGACACGGCCCAAACUCCUACGGGAGGCAGCAGUAGGGAAUCUUCGGCAAUGGACGAAAGUCUGACCGAGCAACGCCGCGUGAGUGAAGAAGGUUUUCGGAUCGUAAAACUCUGUUGUUAGAGAAGAACAAGGAUGAGAGUAACUGUUCAUCCCUUGACGGUAUCUAACCAGAAAGCCACGGCUAACUACGUGCCAGCAGCCGCGGUGAUACGUAGGUGGCAAGCGUUGUCCGGAUUUAUUGGGCGUAAAGCGAGCGCAGGCGGUUUCUUAAGUCUGAUGUGAAAGCCCCCGGCUCAACCGGGGAGGGUCAUUGGAAACUGGGAGACUUGAGUGCAGAAGAGGAGAGUGGAAUUCCAUGUGUAGCGGUGAAAUGCGUAGAUAUAUGGAGGAACACCAGUGGCGAAGGCGGCUCUCUGGUCUGUAACUGACGCUGAGGCUCGAAAGCGUGGGGAGCAAACAGGAUUAGAUACCCUGGUAGUCCACGCCGUAAACGAUGAGUGCUAAGUGUUGGAGGGUUUCCGCCCUUCAGUGCUGCAGCUAACGCAUUAAGCACUCCGCCUGGGGAGUACGACCGCAAGGUUGAAACUCAAAGGAAUUGACGGGGGCCCGCACAAGCGGUGGAGCAUGUGGUUUAAUUCGAAGCAACGCGAAGAACCUUACCAGGUCUUGACAUCCUUUGACCACUCUAGAGAUAGAGCUUCCCCUUCGGGGGCAAAGUGACAGGUGGUGCAUGGUUGUCGUCAGCUCGUGUCGUGAGAUGUUGGGUUAAGUCCCGCAACGAGCGCAACCCUUAUUGUUAGUUGCCAUCAUUUAGUUGGGCACUCUAGCAAGACUGCCGGUGACAAACCGGAGGAAGGUGGGGAUGACGUCAAAUCAUCAUGCCCCUUAUGACCUGGGCUACACACGUGCUACAAUGGGAAGUACAACGAGUCGCGAAGUCGCGAGGCUAAGCUAAUCUCUUAAAGCUUCUCUCAGUUCGGAUUGUAGGCUGCAACUCGCCUACAUGAAGCCGGAAUCGCUAGUAAUCGCGGAUCAGCACGCCGCGGUGAAUACGUUCCCGGGCCUUGUACACACCGCCCGUCACACCACGAGAGUUUGUAACACCCGAAGUCGGUGAGGUAACCUUUUGGAGCCAGCCGCCUAAGGUGGGAUAGAUGAUUGGGGUGAAGUCGUAACAAGGUAGCCGUAUCGGAAGGUGCGGCUGGAUCACCUCCUUUCU